Molecule: ribosomal RNA, 493 nt
Filed under: uncultured chicken cecal bacterium
Lineage: Bacteria
Description: bacterial SSU rRNA
Rfam family: Bacterial small subunit ribosomal RNA
Source: RNAcentral
GGCUCAGGAUGAACGCUGGCGGCGUCGCUUAACACAUGCAAGUCGAGCGAAGCACUUACUUUUGAUUCUUCGGAAUGACGAGGUCUGUGACUUAGCGGCGGACGGGUGAGUAACGCGUGGGCAACCUGCCUCACAACAGGGGGAUAACAGUUAGAAAUGACUGCUAAUACCGCAUAAGACCCCGGCACCGCAUGGUGCAGGGGUAAAAACUCCGGUGGUGUGAGAUGGGGCCCGCGUCUGAUUAGGUAGUUGGUGCGGUAACGGCGCACCAAGCCGACGAUCAGUAGCCGACCUGAGAGGGCGACCGGCCACAUUGGGACUGAGACACGGCCCAAACUCCUACGGGAGGCAGCAGUGGGGAAUAUUGCACAAUGGGGGGAAACCCUGAUGCAGCGACGCCGCGUGAAGGAUGAAGUAUUUCGGUAUGUAAACUUCUAUCAGCAGGGAAGAAAAUGACGGUACCUGACUAAGAAGCCCCGGCUAACUACGUGCC